This is a long non-coding RNA of Anolis carolinensis (green anole), 2348 nucleotides long. NCBI's taxonomy places the organism in Eukaryota, Metazoa, Chordata, Lepidosauria, Squamata, Anolidae. The record is from Ensembl.
GUCAGAGUCUAGUGCUCAAACCACUACACUGGCCCCAGCAUUUACAGUGGUUUAAAAUCUGUUUUGAAUAGCCCUUAUCUGAAAACUCAAGAUUUUUCCCUUUAUAGAACAUUCCAAAUACUUGUCUUUUCCCAGUCUCUCUUCCUUUUUGUCUUUCACACACACAUACAAAGAAGGGGAGGGAGGAAAAGUGAGAGAGAGAACUAAAGAGCAGGAAUUCUACACCGAGGAAUUACAUCUAAUCACCAUGGUUUCAUUCUUAUUAGCACUAAUCUAGGCCAGUGGUCUGCCAUACUUCUCUGCCUGCGGCCAGAUGAAAAAAAAUACAACUCUAAAAAUACCAAAAGAGUUUUUAAGGCAUAAUGGCUACAUAAUAUAUAUUCUUUUCCUUCUUUUCUGCCUAGAUGUCAGAAUUGCCAAGAGGCUCGGCCCUUUAGCUGGAGAAGGCAAAUUCAUGUUUAAUAUAGAAUAUAUCCCACAGGCAACAAACAGGAAAAUCUUUUUAAAACCAUUUUUGUGAGUUUAAAGUAAGAUCAUUUUGGGGUGGGGGAGGGGGUUCACAGUUCAUUAAAGAAAAGGGAUUAAAAUAAAUGGCAGGAAUCAAACCAGAAUUUAGGUAAGCAAAGGGUGGCAGUUGCUCCCACAUUUUUAGUUCUACCAAAACAUCUCUGACCUUCCUGAAAAAAAAUUCACAAAACACAACAGUCAAUACAAUUUCCUCCUCUCCUACAGCUUCCUUGUUCUUUCUGGUUUUGCUUCCCCAGUUCACAGCUUUCCAGACAAAUACACCUUUCACUAUAAUCUGGACAUAUUGUUGUUUUGUGUCUUCAAGUCAUUUCCAAUUUAUAGUGACCUUGAAACGAUCCUAUUGUGGGUUUUUCUGGGGCUGAGAAUAUGCAGCUCACCCAAGGUCACCCAGUACGCUUACAUAGCCAAGUGAGAAUUGACAGGUUUCAAAAGAAAAACACAUUUCGCUAUAAUUGGGACAGCAGCUUGGUUUUCAUGUGCUUUUCACAGGUGCCCAGUACACAGAAAUUUAACCAGUAAAACAUAUUUUCAUAAAAUGAGAUGCAGUAAUAGGAAAGCCUGCAUACAUUUAACUUCUUUCUGUUGUGUAAAUAUCAAAGGUACUGGUGUCAAGAAGGGGAAGAACAGAGAACAGGUGAAGUGGUUCAGAGCAUCCAUGGCAGCUUAACUGAUCUCUAUUUGACCACAUGAGGAGCUCUGGAAAUGUCAUGAUUGGGUUGGGAAACAAUACAUUCCAUACACAGCAACAUUUCAGGAUGCAAAAGCGAGAAUGAGGAGCAAAUGCCAUCCACUGGGCUUCAAUGGCUGUUAAGAGACUCAUAUCCACAAGCCUUAUAUCUAAAUCCAAACCCCACUAUCCUGACUAAACAGGACAAACUGCAUCCUUCCAGAUGUUAUAUCCCUUCAGUUCUAGUCAUGAUGCCUAAUGAUAAGGAAGACAGGAGUUGUAGUCCAGCAUCUGGAAAGCCACAUGACAUGACAUGACAUGACAUGACAUGACAUAACAUGGCAGGAUGGAUUUGGCCUACAGGCCUUGUGUUUGACACAUGUGCAUCAGAGAGAUCAGAAGCAAAGGCAAGUGCCCUUGAAUAGAGGAAUCUCUUGCUGGCAAUUUCUCUCAUUUUUCCAGGUUUGUUUUGCUUUAUUGCUCCAUUAGUUUGCCAACACACAUGUGUUAAACUGUGUAACAUUAUCUACAGAACAUUGCCUAAUAUUCAAACAUAUUUUGCAAGCAAUUUUCCAUAGUAUGCUGUAUUUUUGCAAGCUUUUUCUACUAAUAUAUACAUUUAAUAAAUGCCAAAUUCAUUUUCCAUUUAGCACUGUGUCAACCUAGCAAAGUUUCAAAGAAUAUGGAGCAAGUGUCUUCUGCAAUCUAGUUCUUCCAAAGGCUCCUAGAAAGAGUUUAGACUUGUUCUUAAAACUGCCCCAGCAACUGGUUGCUGCCAAAUGUAGGAGCUGGUGUUAGUGUUUAUACUUGGGAUUCUUUCGUCACAUCUAUCUGAGCAUUUAUAUCGGAACAAUUUAUUUACUGGUUCAACCAAAAACAAGCAGCAUACAUAUGCAGGCAAACCAUCACACUGAAGAUACAAUGGGUUUAGAGAUCAUUUUCUUGAACUGGUCAAACCAGUUGGCAGCUAUAGCUAGUCAAGCUAUACUAGCCACAAGUCUGUAUGCCUUCAAGUCACCUGACAAUUUAUGUUUCUAUGGCCCCAUGAAUUCCAUAGGGUUUUCUUAGGCAAGGGAUACUUAGAGCUAGUUUUCCAAGUUUCUUCCUUGGAAAUAUGGCAUUCAUUGGUGAUCUCCCAUCCAAGUACUAAGCA